CCUACGGGAGGCUGCAGUGGGGAAUCUUGCACAAUGGAGGAAACUCUGAUGCAGCGAUGCCGCGUGAGUGAAGAAGGCCUUUGGGUUGUAAAGCUCUUUCGUCGGGGAAGAAAAUGACUGUACCCGAAUAAGAAGGUCCGGCUAACUUCGUGCCAGCAGCCGCGGUAAUACGAAGGGACCUAGCGUAGUUCGGAAUUACUGGGCUUAAAGAGUUCGUAGGUGGUUGAAAAAGUUGGUGGUGAAAUCCCAGAGCUUAACUCUGGAACUGCCAUCAAAACUUUUCAGCUAGAGUAUGAUAGAGGAAAGCAGAAUUUCUAGUGUAGAGGUGAAAUUCGUAGAUAUUAGAAAGAAUACCAAUUGCGAAGGCAGCUUUCUGGAUCAUUACUGACACUGAGGAACGAAAGCAUGGGUAGCGAAGAGGAUUAGAUACCCUUGUAGUC
This 440-nucleotide ribosomal RNA is filed under the name Pectobacterium carotovorum. RNAcentral describes it as "bacterial SSU rRNA". It matches the Rfam family "Bacterial small subunit ribosomal RNA", at positions 338 to 795 of the family's 1533-position model. The record is from RNAcentral. RNAcentral also lists the same sequence under 1 other name. Lineage: Bacteria; Pseudomonadati; Pseudomonadota; Gammaproteobacteria; Enterobacterales; Pectobacteriaceae.